AAAUUGAAGAGUUUGAUCAUGGCUCAGAUUGAACGCUGGCGGCAGGCCUAACACAUGCAAGUCGAACGGUAGCACAGAGAGCUUGCUCUCGGGUGACGAGUGGCGGACGGGUGAGUAAUGUCUGGGAAACUGCCUGAUGGAGGGGGAUAACUACUGGAAACGGUGGCUAAUACCGCAUAACGUCGCAAGACCAAAGAGGGGGACCUUCGGGCCUCUUGCCAUCAGAUGUGCCCAGAUGGGAUUAGCUUGUUGGUGAGGU
RNAcentral lists this ribosomal RNA (259 nucleotides) under Salmonella enterica. Its description in RNAcentral is "partial 16S ribosomal RNA". It matches the Rfam family "Bacterial small subunit ribosomal RNA", at positions 1 to 258 of the family's 1533-position model. Lineage: Bacteria; Pseudomonadati; Pseudomonadota; Gammaproteobacteria; Enterobacterales; Enterobacteriaceae. The record is from RNAcentral.